GAUGAACGCUGGCGGCGUGCCUAAUACAUGCAAGUCGAACGAGGUGCCUUUGUAGCAAUACGGAGGUAUCCUAGUGGCGAACGGGUGAGUAACGCGUUGGUGACCUGCCCCGAAGUCUGGGAUAACCCUGCGAAAGUGGGGCUAAUACCGGAUGUGGUCAUCGGAUUUAGAAACCGAUGUCUAAAGGAUUUAUUCGCUUCGGGAGGGGCCUGCGUCCCAUCAGCUAGUUGGUAGGGUAAUGGCCUACCAAGGCGACGACGGGUAGGGGACCUCAGAGGGUGGCCCCCCACAAUGGAACUGAAACACGGUCCAUACACCUACGGGUGGCAG
Molecule: ribosomal RNA, 330 nt
Filed under: uncultured Chloroflexota bacterium
Lineage: Bacteria; Bacillati; Chloroflexota
Description: bacterial SSU rRNA
Rfam family: Bacterial small subunit ribosomal RNA
Source: RNAcentral